This 1158-nucleotide ribosomal RNA is filed under the name Pseudoalteromonas agarivorans. RNAcentral's name for it is "bacterial SSU rRNA". It matches the Rfam family "Bacterial small subunit ribosomal RNA", at positions 74 to 1246 of the family's 1533-position model. The record is from RNAcentral. Lineage: Bacteria; Pseudomonadati; Pseudomonadota; Gammaproteobacteria; Alteromonadales; Pseudoalteromonadaceae.
AGUACCUUGCUACUUUGCUGACGAGCGGCGGACGGGUGAGUAGUGCUUGAGAACAUGCCUUGAUGUGGGAGACAACAUUUGGAAACGAGUGCUAAUACCGCAUAGUGUCUACGGACCAGGGGGGUCUUCCUCUCUCGCCUUUAUAUUGCCCCAUGUGAUAUUAUCUAUUUGGAGAGGUAGUGUCUCACCAGGGAGAAGAUCCCUAUCUGUUUUGAGAGGAUGAUCACCCACUGUGACAGUGACACACGGCCCACACUCCUACGAGAGGCAGCAGUGGAAAAUAUUGCACAGUGGGCGCAACCCUGAUGCACCCAUGCCGCGUGUGUGAAAAAGGCCUUCGUUUUGUAGAGCUCUUUCACUCAAGAAGAAAGGUUAAUAGUUAAUACGUGCUAUCUGUGACGUUACUGACAGAAGAAGCACCGUCUAUCUCCGUGCCAGCACCCGCGAUAAUACAGAGGGUGCGAGCGUUACUCGGAUUUACUGCGCGUAGAGCGUACGCACGCGGUUUGUUAAGCGAUAUGUGAAAGCCCCGGUCUCAAUCUGAGAUCUGCAUUUCAAACUGGCAAUCUAGAGUGUGAUAGAGGGUGAUAAAAUUUCAUGUGUAGCGGUGAUAUGCAUAGAGAUCUGAGAGAAUACCGAUGGCGAACGCAGCCAUCUGUCUCAACACUGACGCUCAUGUACGAAAGCGUGGAGAGCAAACAGGAUUAUAUACUCUGAUAGUCCACGCCGUACGCGAUGUCUACUAAAAUCUCGAAAUCUCGUCUCUGUUUUUCAGAGCUAGCGCAUUAUAUACACCGUCUGGAGAAUACGGCCGCAAGGUUACACUCAUAUGAAUUGACGGGCGCCCGCACAAGCGGUGGAACAUGUGGUAUAACUCUAUGCAACGCGAAGAAUCUUACCUACUCUUGAUAUACAGAGAUCUUACCAGAUGAUGUUUUGGUGCCUUCGAGCACUCUGAUACAGGUGCUGCAUGGCUGUCGUCAUCUCGUGUUGAGAGAUGUUGGGAUAACUCCCGCAAAGAGCGCACCCAUAUCUUUAUUUCUAACAGGUAUUCUGAAACUCUAAGGACACUGCGGUGAAACCCGGAAAAAGGGGGGACAACUCAAGUCUCGUGCCCUUACUGUAGGGCUCACACGUCCAAAAGGGCCAUAAAAAGUG